AAUCAAAUUAUGUGCAUUAUGUU
This 23-nucleotide small nuclear RNA is filed under the name Arabidopsis thaliana (thale cress). RNAcentral describes it as "snRNA_12638". The record is from RNAcentral. Lineage: Eukaryota; Viridiplantae; Streptophyta; Magnoliopsida; Brassicales; Brassicaceae.